GAAGGCGGCGAGGUAGGUGUCGGCGAGCGCGGCGAGCGGGUCGCGCGAGUGCAGCUGCAGGAAGUCGGCGACGGCGGAGUGCGCGGCGCGGGUGCCCGCCAGCCCCAGCACGCGGCACAGCUCCGGCCUGACAACGCCUUUCUAGAGUGGGAGCGUGCGGUACGCACAGCAGCGGCAGCGCGUCGUCGCGGCGCAGCAGGUGCAGCAGCGCGGAGGAGUUGGCGGCGCGCGCGGCGGGCAGCAGGCGCAGCAGCGCGCGGGCGGCGGGCGCGGUGCCGCCGGCGCCGGGCUCCGAGCUGGCGAGUGAGGAGCUCUCUUCCCGCAGCGCCGCGCCCAGCUCCUGUCGAAACACAUUGUCGUUACUCUAAAUCGAACACUCGUUGUACAAAACGCUUUUCGUAGUUUCCCGAUUAUAGCUCAUACGAAUCCCGACCCCGCCAAGUACAGCGACAUCUCUCGGUAAAUUAGGUUAUUAUUUUGUAAAAACUACGCGUAGGUAUGUUGAGAUUAUAAAUAAAAUAAAUAACUAAAAA
Helicoverpa zea (corn earworm) is the source of this 533-nucleotide long non-coding RNA. RefSeq lists it as uncharacterized. The transcript is spliced from 2 exons. The record is from RefSeq and is a predicted model, not a curated record. Lineage: Eukaryota; Metazoa; Arthropoda; Insecta; Lepidoptera; Noctuidae.